This 401-nucleotide ribosomal RNA is filed under the name uncultured Bdellovibrio sp. RNAcentral's name for it is "bacterial SSU rRNA". It matches the Rfam family "Bacterial small subunit ribosomal RNA", at positions 68 to 481 of the family's 1533-position model. Lineage: Bacteria; Pseudomonadati; Bdellovibrionota; Bdellovibrionia; Bdellovibrionales; Pseudobdellovibrionaceae. The record is from RNAcentral.
UUAAAGCUCUCUUCGGAGAGUGUAUAGAGUGGCGCACGGGUGAGUAACACGUAAGUAAUCUACCUUCGAGUGGGGAAUAACAGUCGGAAACGACUGCUAAUACCGCAUAAUGCAGCGGCACCUAAUGGUGACAGUUGUUAAAGCAUUUAUGUGCUUGAAGAGGAGCUUGCGGCAGAUUAGCUAGUUGGUAAGGUAAUGGCUUACCAAGGCGACGAUCUGUAGCCGACCUGAGAGGGUGGUCGGUCACACUGACACUGAAUAACGGGUCAGACUCCUACGGGAGGCAGCAGUCGGGAAUUUUGGGCAAUGGGCGAAAGCCUGACCCAGCAACGCCGCGUGAAGGAUGAAGUAUUUCGGUAUGUAAACUUCGUAAGAAUGGGAAGAAUCAAUGACGGUACCAU